Long non-coding RNA from Malus domestica (apple), 439 nucleotides. RefSeq lists it as uncharacterized. The record is from RefSeq and is a predicted model, not a curated record. NCBI's taxonomy places the organism in Eukaryota, Viridiplantae, Streptophyta, Magnoliopsida, Rosales, Rosaceae.
CGUUUGAAAUUUCCAGGUAACUUUUUACGGGACGAUCUCGAGAUUCUUUGCCGUUCGCACAGAGAGGAGAUUUGUCAAAGGAUUCGUGAACUCGACAAUUCUGACCCAGACACAUUGGUUUGGCCAAUCUUGUUUAAAACCAAUGGAGAGGAAACAGUGGAGGGUUCUGUUCAAGGACAACCACUGAAGAUAGAAGCCUGCGAGGAAGUACACCGGAAAGAAGAUGUUUCUGGUAAGUUUUUAUUUCUGUUUGUAAAUCUUGUUUUUUAUUUUAUUUAUAAUUUUCUUUUUAUUUGUAUUUUUUUUUAAUUUAGGGAUCUUGAUAAAAUUUUGUAAAUUCUCUUUCUUUAGUUUAAUUUUUUUGUUUCUGCUCUUUGUAAUCGUUAAUUUUGUAAAUUCUGUUUGUUUUCUUUAAUUGAGGUGGGUAUUCUUGAGAAAA